UAAGAAUUUUGAAAAAGAAGCUAUUAAAGUUCAUGAGAAAAGAGGGAAUCACCUUAUCAGAAAUGCACUGACAAACAAGUUUUACAUAUAUAUGUGUAUGUACGUAUAACGUCAACAGCCUGUGCUGAUCUCAUUUUGGAGAUUUUGCACGUGUAUAUAUCAGGGAAUAUAAAUACGAGUUCUCGGUUAAUAGUUUUCAAAACCUGUAAAACCUUUGAAGUCGCGGUUGUGAUACAAUCCUUAUAUGUGCAAACUAUAUUAACACCGGAAAUCAAAAUGAAAUAUUUACAAUUCCUUGCUUUAUUCGUUGUUAUAUUCGUUAUCACAACGUCUGCUAUGCCUGCAGAACCAUCCGAUAUUCCUUCUUCGUUAAAGCAGGGUACAAGAAUCACUAGAGCUGUAUCGACAUCAUUCCAAUGUUCUGCUUGUAGCUUUUUCUGUCAAGGCAAAGGAAAAAGGGGUGGUUAUUGUAUAAAGAACGUCUGCACCUGCUUUUAACAAAUUAUGUACUAACUUAAUAUUAAUAAUAAUAUUUAUUAUUUAUUCUGCUAUUGGUAUCUAACAUUGAUCACCUUCAGCCUUCAUAUUGUAUGUACUUACUAUAAUUGGGAAAAUAAACAUGUUCAUUUUACAUUCACAAUUAA
Agrilus planipennis (emerald ash borer) is the source of this 644-nucleotide long non-coding RNA. RefSeq lists it as uncharacterized. The transcript is spliced from 2 exons. NCBI's taxonomy places the organism in Eukaryota, Metazoa, Arthropoda, Insecta, Coleoptera, Buprestidae. The record is from RefSeq and is a predicted model, not a curated record.